RNAcentral lists this unclassified non-coding RNA (329 nucleotides) under soil metagenome. RNAcentral's name for it is "partial contains 5.8S ribosomal RNA, internal transcribed spacer 2, and large subunit ribosomal RNA". The stretch from base 1 to 120 matches the Rfam family "5.8S ribosomal RNA", at positions 35 to 154 of the family's 154-position model. The record is from RNAcentral.
GAUGAAGAACGUAGCGAAAUGCGAUAAGUAAUGUGAAUUGCAGAAUUCGGUGAAUCAUCGAAUCUUUGAACGCACAUUGCGCCCCUUGGUAUUCCGGGGGGCAUGUCUCUUCCAGCGUCAUUUCACCCCUCAAGCUCUGCUUGGUUUUGGGCCGCGCCGGCAACGGCGGGCCUCGAAAAUAGUGGCGACGCCAUCGUGCUCUCAGCGUAGUAAUUCUUCUCGCUGUUGGGUCCCGGUGGUCGUCCGCCAGCAACCCCCAACUUUCUUAAGUUUGACCUGGGAUGAGGUAGGGAUACCCGCUGAACUUAAGCAUAUCAAUAAGCGGAGGA